RNAcentral lists this ribosomal RNA (497 nucleotides) under uncultured bacterium. RNAcentral describes it as "partial 16S ribosomal RNA". It matches the Rfam family "Bacterial small subunit ribosomal RNA", at positions 28 to 507 of the family's 1533-position model. The record is from RNAcentral.
GAUGAACGCUGGCGGCGUGCCUAAUACAUGCAAAUCGAGCGAACGGACGAGAAGCUUGCUUCUCUGAUGUUAGCGGCGGACGGGUGAGUAACACGUGGAUAACCUACCUAUAAGACUGGGAUAACUUCGGGAAACCGGAGCUAAUACCGGAUAAUAUUUUGAACCGCAUGGUUCAAAAGUGAAAGACGGUCUUGCUGUCACUUAUAGAUGGAUCCGCGCUGCAUUAGCUAGUUGGUAAGGUAACGGCUUACCAAGGCAACGAUGCAUAGCCGACCUGAGAGGGUGAUCGGCCACACUGGAACUGAGACACGGUCCAGACUCCUACGGGAGGCAGCAGUAGGGAAUCUUCCGCAAUGGGCGAAAGCCUGGCGGAGCAACGCCGCGUGAGUGAUGAAGGUCUUCGGAUCGUAAAACUCUGUUAUUAGGGAAGAACAUAUGUGUAAGUAACUGUGCACAUCUUGACGGUACCUAAUCAGAAAGCCACGGCUAACUACGUG